RNAcentral lists this long non-coding RNA (1395 nucleotides) under Nicotiana benthamiana. RNAcentral's name for it is "long non-coding RNA (NBEN_LNC041496)". The record is from RNAcentral. Lineage: Eukaryota; Viridiplantae; Streptophyta; Magnoliopsida; Solanales; Solanaceae.
UAGCAUUCCCCCAUUGUUAGGCAUGUCUAAAGUCUGCCUUUGCUUAAGCAACAGACUCUGUGCAAUCUCCCUAUUCCCCCGACCCCCUUUUGUGUGCUUAUUUAUAACUAGUUCCCUCUCCCUUUCCCCUAUUAGCAUCCUGUUCUGCACUUGCACACUUUCUUAGUCUUAAGUUCUGCUCCCCUUUUGUGAGCCUUGCCUUUGGACCCUUUGAGUUCCCUAUAAACUUGGACGCUUGAGGGCUGGACCUUCCACACUGCACUUUUCCGAAUCUGAUAACACAUUUGGGUGUGAGCAUUGCUCGGGGUUCAUUUGAGACUCUUAGGGAACUUUGACACACUCAAAUGGGAGAAAGGCUUUGGAUCAUGAUCUCAUGGAGUUUGUUUACCUCAUGUUUCAGACAUGAAGUCUGAUCAGGCUCCCAUUGGUUGUACAUUUAUUUUUUUGAUGUAUUUUUACUUUAUUCCGGGCCGUAAUAAUUUGUAAUAAACUCUUGGGGAUGGUUAGUGAAAAGGGUGGGUGAUUGUGUAUGCGAAAUGGGUAGAUACCAUGCCUAUAGGUAUUUCAAAUUUACAUAUACAUAUAGAUACCAUGCCUAUAGGUCAUUAUAAAUUUUACAACUCUCAUAUAGAACUCAUGCCUAUAAGUCUUUCUGAAUUCUGCAACUCUCAUGUAGAAAUCACGCCUAUAAGUCAUUUUGAAAUCUGCACGCAUAUAGAAAUCAUGCCUAUAAGUGUUUGCAAAUCUGCAUAUGCUGAUGCAUAUAAAAAUCAUGCUUAUAGUCCCUUAUGAAUUCUGUACAUUCAUCAUUCAUAUAGAUAUCAUGAUCAUAGGACUACCAUAUUCAAAUAAAAAUUAUACCAAUAGGAUUGUUUAAGUCUGCACAUUCAAUUACACCUAGACAUCAUAUUCAUAGGUCAUAAACAAAGUUCAGCUCCUAGAUAUCAUGUUCAUAGGUCUUAAACAUUCAAUCACAUCUAGAUAUCAUGUUCAUAGGUCUUAAACAUUCAAUCAUAUCUAGAUAUCAUGUCCGUAGGUCUUAAACAAAGUUCAACACCUAGAUAUUAUGUUCAUAGGUCUUAAACAAAGUUCAACAUUUAGAUAUUACGUUCAUAGGUUUAAAAUGAGUCUUCUGCAUUUUAGACCAUGUCUACAGGGUUCAAAAAUUAACUACACGUAGAAAGCAGGUAUAUAGGAACUCUAAUCAAAUCUGAGCCGCUUCAUGCAUGUAUAGAGCUGAAAUCAGUAACCACGAGUACUAUUAGUUGUAGAACUUACAACCAUCAUUAAAAACUGGCUUUCCUUUUAAUAAUCUAACUAUCCUUUUUAACUAGUACAUAUUCAGUUUAUUUAGACCUUGUUAUUUCCUUGUUUUCUGAACUCAGUAGAUACCAU